RNAcentral lists this ribosomal RNA (1491 nucleotides) under uncultured rumen bacterium. RNAcentral's name for it is "bacterial SSU rRNA". It matches the Rfam family "Bacterial small subunit ribosomal RNA". The record is from RNAcentral.
AGAGUUUGAUCCUGGCUCAGGAUGAACGCUAGCGACAGGCUUAACACAUGCAAGUCGAGGGGCAGCGCGAGGGUAGCAAUACCUUUGGCGGCGACCGGCGCACUGGUGAGUAACACGUAUGCGACCUGCCCCGGACAGGGGGAUAAACCCGGGAAACUGGGCCUAAUACCCCAUACGCCUUCCCGUCGCAUGGCGGGAAGGUGAAAGAUCCGUCGGUCCGGGAUGGGCAUGCGGCGCAUUAGCUGGUUGGCGGGGCAACGGCCCACCAAGGCGACGAUGCGUAGGGGUUCUGAGAGGAAGGUCCCCCACACUGGUACUGAGACACGGACCAGACUCCUACGGGAGGCAGCAGUGAGGAAUAUUGGUCAAUGGACGCGAGUCUGAACCAGCCAAGUCGCGUGCGGGAUGAAGGCCCUCCGGGUCGUAAACCGCUUUAGCCGGGGAGUAACGUGUGGGACGCGUCCCUCAGUGAGAGUACCCGGAGAAUAAGCAUCGGCUAACUCCGUGCCAGCAGCCGCGGUAAUACGGAGGAUGCGAGCGUUAUCCGGAUUUAUUGGGUUUAAAGGGUGCGCAGGCGGCACGUCAAGUCAGCGGUCAAAAUGCGGCGCUCAACGCCGUACCGCCGUUGAAACUGGCGGGCUCGAGUGCGUGGGAGGAUGGCGGAAUGCGCGGUGUAGCGGUGAAAUGCAUAGAUAUCGCGCAGAACCCCGAUUGCGAAGGCAGCUGUCCAUCACGCCACUGACGCUCAUGCACGAAAGCGUGGGUAUCGAACAGGAUUAGAUACCCUGGUAGUCCACGCGGUAAACGAUGAUAACUAGUUAUCCGGCCUAAUUGGGGGCUGGGUGACCGAGCGAAAGCGUUAAGUUAUCCACCUGGGGAGUACGCCGGCAACGGUGAAACUCAAAGGAAUUGACGGGGGCCCGCACAAGCGGAGGAACAUGUGGUUUAAUUCGAUGAUACGCGAGGAACCUUACCCGGGCUCAAACGCAUCGCGCUACACCCUGAAAGGGGUGGUUCUUCGGACGCGGUGCGAGGUGCUGCAUGGUUGUCGUCAGCUCGUGUCGUGAGAUGUUGGGUUAAGUCCCGCAACGAGCGCAACCCUUAUUGUUAGUUGCUACGCAAGAGCACUCUAGCGAGACUGCCGUUGACAAAACGGAGGAAGGCGGGGACGACGUCAAAUCAUCAUGCCCCUUAUGUCCCGGGCUACACACGUAAUACAAUGGCGUUAAACAGAGGGAAGCAAAGCCGCGAGGCAGAGCAAAACCCUAAAAGGCGUCUCAGUUCGGAUCGCAGUCUGCAACUCGACUGCGUGAAGUUGGAAUUGCUAGUAAUCGCGGAUCAGCAUGCCGCGGUGAAUACGUUCCCGGGCCUUGUACACACCGCCCGUCACACCAUGAGAGUCGGGAACACCCGAAGUCCGUAGUCUAACCGCAAGGGGGGCGCGGCCGAAGGUGGGUCUGAUAAUUGGGGUGAAGUCGUAACAAGGUAACC